CCUACGGGCGGCAGCAGUGAGGAAUAUUGGUCAAUGGACGAGAGUCUGAACCAGCCAAGUAGCGUGAAGGAUGACUGCCCUAUGGGUUGUAAACUUCUUUUAUAUGGGAAUAAAAUGUUCCACGUGUGGGAUUUUGUAUGUACCAUAUGAAUAAGGAUCGGCUAACUCCGUGCCAGCAGCCGCGGUAAUACGGAGGAACCGAGCGUUAUCCGGAUUUAUUGGGUUUAAAGGGAGCGUAGGUGGAUUGUUAAGUCAGUUGUGAAAGUUUGCGGCUCAACCGUAAAAUUGCAGUUGAAACUGGCAGUCUUGAGUACGGUAGAGGUGGGCGGAAUUCGUGGUGUAGCGGUGAAAUGCUUAGAUAUCACGAAGAACUCCGAUUGCGAAGGCAGUUCACUGGACUGCAACUGACGCUGAGGCUCGAAAGUGUGGGUAUCAAACAGGAUUAGAUACCCCGGUAGUC
RNAcentral lists this ribosomal RNA (460 nucleotides) under uncultured bacterium. Its description in RNAcentral is "partial 16S ribosomal RNA". It matches the Rfam family "Bacterial small subunit ribosomal RNA", at positions 338 to 795 of the family's 1533-position model. The record is from RNAcentral.